CCAGCUCUAAAUGUUGGUUGGAUGCAUGAGAGGAAAUGUACUUGAUCCUCUGCUCGGCUAGGCCGUGGAUGACCAGUACUUCCUUGAGAAAGACUCGCAUCGGUAUCGAGGUAGUUCAUCACUCCCUCCACCAUGAACUAUGCUUUUUCUUUGGUUGCUCUCCCAAGUUUUGUGAAUGUUGUGUGUCAUGUUCUUGCUAAAUUCAAGGGAUUGUGUUCUUAAUCAGUCCUGAUGUUUUAGAUAAUGGAGGUGUUGCUUAUUUGG
This 264-nucleotide long non-coding RNA is filed under the name Hordeum vulgare. RNAcentral describes it as "long non-coding RNA (HVUL_LNC000262)". Lineage: Eukaryota; Viridiplantae; Streptophyta; Magnoliopsida; Poales; Poaceae. The record is from RNAcentral.